AUGGAAACCAGGGUUAGAUACCCUAUUAUACUUUAUUUUAAAAUUAUCAUUACCUGGGUAAUAAACAGUUAUAAUCUUGAAACUCAAAGGAUUUGGCGGUAGCUUAGUCUGCUUAGAGGAACCUGUCCUGUAAACGACAAACCACGAAUUAUCUUACCUUGUUUUGUAAAUAUAACAGUUUGUAUACCGUCAUUAUCAGAUAACUUUAUUAAAAUAUUAGUUGUUGUAAUAAGAAAUUCUUAAAAUAUUAGAUCAAGGUGCAGCUAAUAAUAAGGUAGAGAUGGGUUACAAUAAAUAAAAUUAUUAUGGAUAAAAAGUUUAAAUUCUUUUUUAAAGGAGGAUUUAAAUGUAAAAGUAUUUUAAUAAGUUACUUUGACUUUAGCUCUAAGUUAUGUACAUAUCGCCCGUAGCUA
RNAcentral lists this ribosomal RNA (413 nucleotides) under Deosergestes corniculum. Its description in RNAcentral is "partial 12S ribosomal RNA". Lineage: Eukaryota; Metazoa; Arthropoda; Malacostraca; Decapoda; Sergestidae. The record is from RNAcentral.